ACCUAGCGGCGGACGGGUGAGUAAUGCUUAGGAAUCUGCCUAUUAGUGGGGGACAACAUUCCGAAAGGAAUGCUAAUACCGCAUACGCCCUACGGGGGAAAGCAGGGGAUCUUCGGACCUUGCGCUAUCGGAUGAGCCUAUGUCGGAUUAGCUAGUUGGUGAGGUAACGGCUCACCAAGGCUGCGAUCCGUAGCUGGUCUGAGAGGAUGAUCAGCCACAUCGGGACUGAGACACGGCCCGAACUCCUACGGGAGGCAGCAGUGGGGAAUAUUGGACAAUGGGCGAAAGCCUGAUCCAGCCAUGCCGCGUGUGUGAAGAAGGCCUUCGGGUUGUAAAGCACUUUCAGUGAGGAAGAAAGCCUUGAGGUUAAUACCCUCGAGGGAGGACAUCACUCACAGAAGAAGCACCGGCUAACUCCGUGCCAGCAGCCGCGGUAAUACGGAGGGUGCGAGCGUUAAUCGGAAUUACUGGGCGUAAAGCGCGCGUAGGCGGCUUGAUAAGCCGGUUGUGAAAGCCCCGGGCUCAACCUGGGAACGGCAUCCGGAACUGUCAGGCUAGAGUGCAGGAGAGGAAGGUAGAAUUCCCGGUGUAGCGGUGAAAUGCGUAGAGAUCGGGAGGAAUACCAGUGGCGAAGGCGGCCUUCUGGACUGACACUGACGCUGAGGUGCGAAAGCGUGGGUAGCAAACAGGAUUAGAUACCCUGGUAGUCCACGCCGUAAACGAUGUCGACUAGCCGUUGGGCUCCUUGAGAGCUUUGUGGCGCAGUUAACGCGAUAAGUCGACCGCCUGGGGAGUACGGCCGCAAGGUUAAAACUCAAAUGAAUUGACGGGGGCCCGCACAAGCGGUGGAGCAUGUGGUUUAAUUCGAUGAUACGCGAGGAACCUUACCAGGGCUUAAAUGUAAGUUGCAUUAGUUAGAGAUAGCUAUUUCUUCGGACCACUUACAAGGUGCUGCAUGGUUGUCGUCAGCUCGUGCCGUGAGGUGUCAGGUUAAGUCCUAUAACGAGCGCAACCCCUGUUGUUAGUUGCCAGCGAGUCAUGUCGGGAACUCUAACAAGACUGCCAGUGCAAACUGUGAGGAAGGUGGGGAUGACGUCAAAUCAUCACGGCCCUUACGUCCUGGGCUACACACGUGCUACAAUGGAACGCACAGAGGGCAGCAAACCCGCGAGGGGGAGCGAAUCCCACAAAACGUUUCGUAGUCCGGAUCGGAGUCUGCAACUCGACUCCGUGAAGUCGGAAUCGCUAGUAAUCGUGAAUCAGAAUGUCACGGUGAAUACGUUCCCGGGCCUUGUACACACCGCCCGUCACACCAUGGGAGUGGACUGCACCAGAAGUGGUUAGCCUAACUUCGGAGGGCGAUCACCACGGUGUGGUUCAUGACUGGGGUGAAGUCGGAACAAGGUAGCCGUACUGGAAGGUGCGGCUGGAUCACCUCCUU
RNAcentral lists this ribosomal RNA (1441 nucleotides) under Emiliania huxleyi. RNAcentral describes it as "partial Bacterial small subunit ribosomal RNA". It matches the Rfam family "Bacterial small subunit ribosomal RNA". The record is from RNAcentral. Lineage: Eukaryota; Haptophyta; Isochrysidales; Noelaerhabdaceae.